GUCCCCAUUCAAAUGCAUUUGUCGUCCAAAAAAAGGGAGGUUCCAACCCCCAGAGCCCUCCCCCUGUAUCCGCCACAGUCAGAUAAUGCCAUACAUGCAUUAUCAAGUUUAAGUUUGUUUACCUUUUUUCUUUUUCUUUUCAAUUUUAGGAGUUUUUGGCCAUCAUGUAAAGAGGAUAAUCAACUAUUAACUUUAAAAUCUAGAAAAUCA
Molecule: long non-coding RNA, 210 nt
Filed under: Mytilus galloprovincialis (Mediterranean mussel)
Lineage: Eukaryota; Metazoa; Mollusca; Bivalvia; Mytilida; Mytilidae
Source: RNAcentral